RNAcentral lists this ribosomal RNA (539 nucleotides) under uncultured bacterium. RNAcentral describes it as "bacterial SSU rRNA". It matches the Rfam family "Bacterial small subunit ribosomal RNA", at positions 777 to 1314 of the family's 1533-position model. The record is from RNAcentral.
AAUAGAUACCCCGGUAGUCCACGCCGUAAACGAUGAGUGCUAAGUGUUAGGGGGUUUCCGCCCCUUAGUGCUGCAGCUAACGCAUUAAGCACUCCGCCUGGGGAGUACGGCCGCAAGGCUGAAACUCAAAGGAAUUGACGGGGGCCCGCACAAGCGGUGGAGCAUGUGGUUUAAUUCGAAGCAACGCGAAGAACCUUACCAGGUCUUGACAUCUCCUGACCGCCCUAGAGAUAGGGUCUUCCCUUCGGGGACAGGAUGACAGGUGGUGCAUGGUUGUCGUCAGCUCGUGUCGUGAGAUGUUGGGUUAAGUCCCGCAACGAGCGCAACCCUUGUCCUUAGUUGCCAGCAUUCGGGUUGGGCACUCUAAGGAGACUGCCGGCUAAAAGUCGGAGGAAGGUGGGGAUGACGUCAAAUCAUCAUGCCCCUUAUGACCUGGGCUACACACGUGCUACAAUGGGCGGUACAGAGGGUAGCGAACCCGCGGAGGGGGAGCCAAUACCCAAAAACCGCUCUCAGUUCGGAUUGCAGGCUGCAACUCG